This 3632-nucleotide small RNA is filed under the name Rattus norvegicus (Norway rat). RNAcentral describes it as "uncharacterized LOC102550339". The record is from RNAcentral. Lineage: Eukaryota; Metazoa; Chordata; Mammalia; Rodentia; Muridae.
GGGGCUUCAGGACUACAGUAAGACAAUGAGUAUGCAAGAAGAAAAGAUCAUGAGAGCAAGAAAAAGGUGAUUGGAGACCCAUGAAGACACAGAGGGAAAACAAGAGGGGCUAAUUGACCUAGAAAUACAGGUAGAGUCUGAAACAAAGAGCUUACCAAGAAUCCAAAGAAGGACCUUAACUCCAGAAGGAUGACCCUGAGGCUAUCUCUGCCACACAGAGAAGCUGAGGUCGAAACUUAGAACACAGACUCCAGAACUCUAGAAAGCCAUCCUUGGUAGUCUCGCAUGAAACCUCCACCUCUAUAUGAGGACUUCUUGCGUUUCACUCUUCCUUGAAGCACUACCUUAGAGAGUAACUUCUCUCCCUCCCACUGAGAGGAAAAGCACUCCACAACUCAGUCCUUGGUUCAUGAAUCCUGGCUUGCAGUGGGUAUGUGUACUAUCUUUCUUAUUAGCUGUUGUACUGAUUAGUUUUAUGUUAACUGACUCAAGCUAAAGUCAUCCGAGAGGAGGGAAUUUCAAUUGAGAAUGUUUCGGUAAGAUCAGGCUGUAGGCAUGCCUAUAGGGCAUUGUUGACGGGAAAGUGCCCAGAACACUGUGAGUGGUGCCAUUCCUGGGCUAUUGGUCCAUGGUGCUAUAAGAAAGCAGGCUGAGCAAGCCAUGAACAGCAAAUCAGUAAGCAGGACUCCUCCAUUGCCUCUGUAACAGUUCCUGUCUCGAGGUUCUUGCUCUAUUUGAUUUCCUACUCCGACUGCCUUUGAUGAUGGACUGUUCCCUAGAAGUGAAAUAAACCCUUUCUUCCCAAGUUGCUUUGGUUCAUGGUAUUUCAUCACAGCAAUAGAAACCUUAACUAAUACAGCAGUGGUCACAUGCACAUGGUGUGACAUAGGUAAAGCACAGUAGGUGGUCUUGUUCUUUCCCAAUCAGGCGAAGAGCAGAAACCAUUCAUCUAUUGUUGGUUACUGAGCCAAUAUUUAUUAAGUUUUUGACACCACAAUAAGUUUAUACUAGCAACCUGAACUUUGAACUGUAGACUAGGUACCCAUAACCCUGUAUGGCAAAUAGAACACAGAGGAUGAACCCCGUUGUACAAGCAAAGAGCUGAAACAGAGAAUGGCCCUGGAUCACACUGGGAUUCAGACCUUUCUUGAGCCAGCCUUUUAGUUCUCUCUCACACCUACCUCCUGCACUGAGACUAGAAUUCUUGCAGAACAACAAUGUCACUGAAGUCACCUUUGAAUCUUUAGGGUCUCCAUAAUCCAUGGCAGACAUUAGGUUCAUGGAGAAGAGAUUUGAAUAAACCAAUAAGGUUUGGGGUCAGAGCUCUUGAGUUCUAGAAUCAUUACUAUCUCAUUGGAAUCUUAAAAGAGGGGAAUACCCUCUUUGCCACCCUAUUUCUGAAUAAAACAUGCCAGCAGAUAAAGAUGGGAUUAUCUCCAAGGCAUACUGAAACUUCCCCAGAUGCCACAGAAUCCAUGUGACUGAAAUACCAAAGGUGGAGCAGGCGCACCCUAAAAUGAGCCUCCAUUCAAUUCUGAAUAGUAUAAGAAGCACAUCAAAUUCAGACAUUGGACCAGGUAGGUCCCAUAUGGCAGAGGCGCAUGACAGCAGGGGUUCCAUGUAAAGCAAGGCACCUGAAAUAGGAAAUACUCAAGAUUCUCUUGUUCUGAAAGGGAGACUCCAAAUUGACCACAUUUGAAGCUCCUGCCCCAUUCAGUUCAGUCUCUGUCACUCCUACACUUGUAUCAAUCUCUGUGCAUGGUCUUCCAAGCAAUGCAGGAGGCCAUUUUUACCCUCACCAACACUGGUUGUUCCCAGAAUGGGUUUCCCUUAAAAUCACUUCAAUAUUGUCCUAUAUCCAACAGCUUUUCCCACAGGCCAGAUGCUGCUUAGUAGAAGGGAGCAACUUCAGACCUGACUUUUAAAGAUCAUAGAGGAUAGGUGUGAUGUUUGAGGCUAGAGUGUAUGUCAGAAGGAAUACUGGAAAGAUGUAAGGAGGCUCCUUCCAGAACUCAGACAGGGAGUAUGACACGAAGUUACUGGAGUUUGGGAAGGCCUCAGAAAGAUGCUUGUGUGUGAACUGGGUCUUGGAGGUUAAGGAGAUGUUUGCCAGCUGGAGAAGGCAUAGAGCAGCUAGAGUCAAGGUGGGGAUGCCCAGAGUGUGGAAGGGCAUAGUGUAUGUUUGGGAGAGGAACCAGCCACUGAGUGAGAGAACACGGUGGGAACAGCCUCCCAGAAGACACAAAUGAAUUUCAGGAUUUUCAGAUUUUCUUCUGCACAUUGCCCUAUAAGCAAAGACAACAGGGCCCCCUAAGUCACCCAGGCUCCCAGCGAGUGCCAUGGAAAAUGUUUAAGGUAUCAUUUAACCCAAAGCAAAUGUACUAUCAGCAUUUUUUAAAAUCUCCGAGAAAGAAGAAGAAACAAAAGCUGUUGAAAUGUGAAAAUAAUUAGAGAAGCGACUUUCCCAGGGAACAAACAUGGCCCACGCUGCGCAGAGGGAAGAACAAACAAACUUAGGGGCGGUUAUAAAGCUGUAAAAAUCUUGUUUAUUUCUGAAGAAAGAAAUAACGUUGGAGCAAAGCCACCGAGCCUGCACAACCAUAAAUCAAGGCUUAGGCGGUAGGGAAGGAGGAGUCAGCCAAUAAAUUCAGAGGAAACAAAGCUGCAUUCUAGCUGUCCCAGGAGGCCUGAGAACCUGCUCUGCUCGGGUUCUGCAGCCCUGGAUCACAACAUCCAAAAGUCAGAAUGCCCUGAGUGUUCCUUGUGUGCUCGCCCAGUUAGAAAGCAUUUGGCUCGGGUUACAAUUUAGAAAAGCUAGUCUGAGAGUUGUUCGAUUUUCAGAAAGAAGUGGGGAAAAGUUCUUUCAGAACGCCCCAGAGUUCCCCCUUCUCCAGCUGCCUCUUCGGGUAGUUUCGGCUCAACAGAAACCCCAGGAGGCAGCGGGGCAAGGUCAGGACUGUGGAGGGAAUUCCCACCCGGUGCGCUCAGAAGCAUCCCAGGUUGCUGGCUUCGGUAAACAGCCUCACUAGAAAGGUCACCCCUGAGCUGAGGGAUUUUUCUUGUCUCUCACCGCAGGUUUCUGGACAGAGGGGUCUGGUUUACCGAGAACUUGCUCCACUAACAAUGCGGAGCCCUGAGCUGCGGGUGUCAUAGAGCAAGCAUGGAGAGAGGCAAGGCUUCAUCAGCUUCACGCUUGCCAAAGCUCCUGUCUACGGAACUUAAAGGGUUCGAAAACAUGGGAGGUGAAAUGUCACUCAAGUGAAUUAAGAGAGUUCAACUAUCCCAGACCAGCGUGAGUGACUGAACUGGAGGCCAUGGCAGCUGCAGAGAUCACAGGAAACCCGAUUCCCAGCUCCUUCCGAUGAUGUUUUUUUCCUUCAUCUUUACUGUUGUACCAUUGUCUUCCCUCUGGAUGUGCUUCCCGCUUCCUCUAACACAGGCUGCCAGCCACAUGUUGGUUUCUCUUCUGUCUGAUGAGAACAAUGGGAUUGUGUUUGAGCACAUCCGGGUAAUCUAAGAUAAUGUUCGUAACUUUGGAGCCAACAAUGUAUCACACCUGCCUCCCUGUUAUUUAUGUCCAUAGCUAUAGGUUUCAGAGUUCAGGGUCCAAUAAAUUUAGGAGACACUUUUUA